Molecule: small nucleolar RNA, 88 nt
Organism: Arachis stenosperma
Lineage: Eukaryota; Viridiplantae; Streptophyta; Magnoliopsida; Fabales; Fabaceae
Product: small nucleolar RNA R24
Exons: 1
Source: RefSeq, a predicted model, not a curated record
GUAGUGGUGAUGAGCUUCUAAUAUGUAAGAAAAACCUUGUCUGGUUUAUUCGAUGAAAUAUACAUGUUAUGCUUGGCUUCUGAGUUUG